RNAcentral lists this ribosomal RNA (589 nucleotides) under uncultured bacterium. Its description in RNAcentral is "partial 16S ribosomal RNA". It matches the Rfam family "Bacterial small subunit ribosomal RNA", at positions 355 to 1376 of the family's 1533-position model. The record is from RNAcentral.
UGGGGAAUUUUGGACAAUGGGCGAAAGCCUGAUCCAGCAAUGCCGCGUGUGUGAAGAAGGCCUUCGGGUUGUAAAGCACUUUUGUCCGGAAAGAAAUGGCUCUGGUUAAUACCUGGGGUCGAUGAAGGUACCGGAAGAAUAAGGACCGGCUAACUACGUGCCAGCAGCCGCGGUAAUACGUAGGGUCCAAGCGUUAAUCGGAAUUACUGGGCGUAAAGCGUGCGCAGGCGGUUGUGCAAGACCGAUGUGAAAUCCCCGAGCUUAACUUGGGAAUUGCAUUGGUGACUGCACGGCUAGAGUGUGUCAGAGGGGGGUAGAAUUCCACGUGUAGCAGUGAAAUGCGUAGAGAUGUGGAGGAAUACCGAUGGCGAAGGCAGCCCCCUGGGAUAACACUGACGCUCAUGCACGAAAGCGUGGGGAGCAAACAGGAUUAGAUACCCUGGUAGUCCACGCCCUAAACGAUGUCAACUAGUUGUUGGGGGAUUCAUUUUCCUUAGUAACGUAGCUAACGCGUGAAGUUGACCGCCUGGGGAGUACGGUCGCAAGAUUAAAAGCUUAAAUGAAUUGACGGGGUCAUAGCUGUUUCCUG